AAAAACAUCAAAUCUGAGAGAAAUCGUACCUCAAAGUAGCUGUCAGAGCUGUUCUUCGUGAAGAACAGUUCGUGAUGCCUACUUUGGACCUCUAUAACUUGACAAUCGUGCAACGUUUACGUGAUCUAUCAAUUCCAGUGUGUAGACAACAUGUAGGACUACAACUAUAACACUUAAAAUCAUCAUAACAACAAUAAAUCAA
This 202-nucleotide long non-coding RNA is filed under the name Panax ginseng (ginseng). RNAcentral describes it as "long non-coding RNA (PGIN_LNC002477)". Lineage: Eukaryota; Viridiplantae; Streptophyta; Magnoliopsida; Apiales; Araliaceae. The record is from RNAcentral.